This 36-nucleotide non-coding RNA is filed under the name unclassified sequences. RNAcentral's name for it is "S16-Flavobacteria ribosomal protein leader". It matches the Rfam family "S16-Flavobacteria ribosomal protein leader". The record is from RNAcentral.
AUUAAUAACAAGAGGUCGUGAACCUCAAUAAUUAAU